GACGAACGCUGGCGGCGUGCUUAACACAUGCAAGUCGAACGGAAAGGCCCUGCUUUUGUGGGGUGCUCGAGUGGCGAACGGGUGAGUAACACGUGAGUAUCCUGCCCUUGACUUUGGGAUAACUUCAGGAAACUGGGGCUAAUACCGGAUAGGAGCUCCUGCUGCAUGGUGGGGGUUGGAAAGUUUCGGCGGUUGAGGAUGGAUUCGCGGCUUAUCAGCUGGUUGGUGGGGUAGUGGCUUACCAAGGCUUUGACGGGUAGCCGGCCUGAGAGGGUGACCGGCCACAUUAGGACUGAGAUACGGCACAGACUCCUACGGGAGGCAGCAGUGGGGAAUAUUGCACAAUAGGCGGAAGCCUGAUGCAGCAACGCCGCGUGCGGGAUGACGGCCUUCGGGUUGUGAACCGCUUUCGCCUGUGACGAAGCGUGAGUGACGGUAAUGGGUAAAGAAGCACCGGCUAACUACGUG
Molecule: ribosomal RNA, 468 nt
Filed under: uncultured bacterium
Lineage: Bacteria
Description: partial 16S ribosomal RNA
Rfam family: Bacterial small subunit ribosomal RNA
Source: RNAcentral